CAUAUCUCUCUUACGGGAAGGAUGAGAAGCUUCGACUAAGGUUCGAUUCGAGCGAAAGCGAGAAAGCGUUGCCGCAGGCAACGACCCGAAGGGCGAAGCGCGCAGCGCUGAGCCAUCCUUCCCCCACCACCA
RNAcentral lists this small RNA (132 nucleotides) under Salmonella enterica. RNAcentral describes it as "RtT sRNA". It matches the Rfam family "RtT RNA". From Rfam's summary of the family: This family represents a bacterial cis-regulatory element known as RtT RNA. The exact function of RtT is unknown although it is thought that it may be involved in changing the cellular response in relation to amino acid starvation. Lineage: Bacteria; Pseudomonadati; Pseudomonadota; Gammaproteobacteria; Enterobacterales; Enterobacteriaceae. The record is from RNAcentral.